RNAcentral lists this long non-coding RNA (756 nucleotides) under Diabrotica virgifera virgifera (western corn rootworm). RNAcentral describes it as "uncharacterized LOC126884274". The record is from RNAcentral. Lineage: Eukaryota; Metazoa; Arthropoda; Insecta; Coleoptera; Chrysomelidae.
UGUAUUACCCUUCUAUAGUAUUUGAUAUAAUAUAAAUAAAUGCUGUGCAUUUACUGAAGAAAAGUGAUUUCACUUCAUGGUAAGUAUAUUACGAUGACCUGGAUGAUAUUCUGCAUGGCUAUAAAUGUGAAAUUAAGGAUGAAUCCAAUGGAUAAGGUUCACAUGAUACAUAGCAUAAAUAUGAUCAUUUGGCUUUAAAGGAAUAUCCCAUAAAUACAGAAAUAACAAUAUGAAGAUAGAGGACUGGUUUAAAGAAAAACAAAAAAUUGAAAAGGGGAGACGGUAUCCAAUAGGCACCACAAAAAAUUCACUGAAAUGGGCAGUGGUACAUAUUUCGUACCGCAUUUACAUUGAUUUCCUCUAAUCCAUCCAAAUAAGCACACAAAACCAGCGUUAUCCAAUCCAUGCCCUUAUUGAAAAAUGGGAAAAACAUCAAGUCAUAAUUAUAUGCUCCAGACCACCAGAUAACCAUAAUGCGAUGUGCCAACAUCAUAACAUUAGGCAAGCUAUAAUCCGUAACUGAAAUAAAUCAGAAGCAAAUUCUAAAUUUUAAACUAUUUAAGGACACACAUGUUAAUUUUUAAGUAGGCACUAAUAGUAAUAGAGUAAAGUAAUAAAGUAAAAUGGUCUGAAAUUAAAUAUUCACGGAUACACAAUGAAAAUGUGAAAAAUUUAAGAUAUUUCAUACCAUGUUUUGUUCAUAGUGAUCGAAUAUUAUUGUUAUUGUAAAAUUUAUUAUUAAAGUUAUAAAAACUA